GGUCAAGCUACAAAGGGCGCAUGGUGAAUGCCUUGGCAUCAGGAGCCGAUGAAGGACGCGAUAAGCUGCGAUAAGCUUCGGGUAGACGCACAUAGUCAGAGAUCCGAAGAUUUCCGAAUGAGGAAACUCACAUGGGAAACCCCAUGUAUCAUAAAGUGAAUACAUAGCUUUAUGAAGGUAUACCCAGGGAACUGAAACAUCUAAGUACCUGGAGGAAGAGAAAGAAAAAUCGAUUUUCUUAGUAGCGGCGAGCGAAAAGGAAAGAGCCCAAACCAGAGAUUUAUCUCUGGGGUUGCGGACAGAACAUAACGAGAAAUCAUAGUUAAUUGAACACAACUGGAAAGUUGGACCACAGUGGGUAAUAGUCCCGUAAGUGAAAACUAUGAUAAUCAGUUCUGCACCAGAGUACCACGAGACACGUGAAACCUUGUGGGAAGCAGGGAGGACCACCUCCCAAGGCUAAAUACUACCUGAUGACCGAUAGUGAAGCAGUACCGUGAGGGAAAGGUGAAAAGAACCCCGGGAGGGGAGUGAAAUAGAACCUGAAACCAUGUGCCUACAACCGAUCAGAGCACCUUAUGUGUGUGAUGAUGUGCUUUUUGUAGAACGAGCCAACGAGUUACGGUAUGUAGCGAGGUUAAGUACUUAAGGUACGGAGCCGAAGGGAAACCGAGUCUUAAUAGGGCGACUAGUUGCAUGCUGUAGACCCGAAACCGGGUGACCUAUCCAUGGCCAGGUUGAAGCGAGGGUAAAACCUCGUGGAGGACCGAACCACGUUGCUGUUGAAAAAGCAUGGGAUGAGCUGUGGAUAGCGGAGAAAUUCCAAUCGAACUCGGAUAUAGCUGGUUCUCCUCGAAAUAGCUUUAGGGCUAGCGUCGGAAAAUGUGAGUAGUGGAGGUAGAGCACUGAAUAGGCUAGGGGGCAUAGCGCUUACCGAACCUUAUCAAACUCCGAAUGCCACAUACUAUCAGUCCGGCAGUCAGACUAUGAAAGAUAAGUUCCAUGGUCAAAAGGGAAACAGCCCAGAUCGUCAGCUAAGGUCCCAAAGUGUAAGUUAAGUGGAAAAGGAUGUGGGAUUUCUAAGACAACUAGGAUGUUGGCUUAGAAGCAGCCACUCAUUAAAAGAGUGCGUAAUAGCUCACUAGUCAAGAGAUCCUGCGCCGAAAAUGUCCGGGGCUCAAACUUACCACCGAAGCUACGGGUUCACGUUUAACGUGAGCGGUAGAGGAGCGUCGUAAUCGGGCUGAAGUCGUACCGUAAGGAGCGGUGGACUGAUUACGAGUGAGAAUGUUGGCAUUAGUAGCGAGAUGUAGGCGAGAAUCCUACAGGCCGAAUAUCUAAGGUUUCCUGAGUAAAGUUUGUCUUCUCAGGGUUAGUCGGGACCUAAGGCGAGGCCGAAAGGCGUAGUCGAUGGACAAUUGGUUGAUAUUCCAAUACCACUAUAAUCGUUAUUAUCGAUGGUGUGACGGAGAAGGAUAGGAUGUGCUAGCUAUUGGAUGCUAGUCUAAGCGUUUAGGGAGUUGGGAUUGGCAAAUCCGUUCCAACAAUUCUGAGGCGUGAUGGGGAAGGUUCUACGGAACCGAAGUAUCUGAUUCCAUGCUUCCAAGAAAAGCAUCUAGA
Molecule: ribosomal RNA, 1620 nt
Filed under: Clostridium beijerinckii
Lineage: Bacteria; Bacillati; Bacillota; Clostridia; Eubacteriales; Clostridiaceae
Description: partial 23S ribosomal RNA
Rfam family: Bacterial large subunit ribosomal RNA
Source: RNAcentral